Molecule: small nucleolar RNA, 136 nt
Organism: Lachancea thermotolerans CBS 6340
Lineage: Eukaryota; Fungi; Ascomycota; Saccharomycetes; Saccharomycetales; Saccharomycetaceae
Source: RefSeq, a predicted model, not a curated record
CAGCAGGUGUGGCCUUAACUUUGUUGUCCUGCUGUGAUUAUAUGCAUUUAUACCAAUUGUUCCGACUGAAUAGUGUUACUACUGCCUGUCGACAACCUGCAUCUAUCGUUAAGUUUCAGCCUUGUAUGAGCUAGAC